GCCGGGAUGGCGGAAUAGGCAGACGCAGAGGACUUAAAAUCCUCCGGCCAGGAAUGGUCGUACCGGUUCAAGUCCGGUUCCCGGCACCA
This 89-nucleotide transfer RNA is filed under the name Sulfobacillus benefaciens. Its description in RNAcentral is "tRNA-Leu". It matches the Rfam family "tRNA". From Rfam's summary of the family: Transfer RNA (tRNA) molecules are approximately 80 nucleotides in length. Their secondary structure includes four short double-helical elements and three loops (D, anti-codon, and T loops). The record is from RNAcentral. Lineage: Bacteria; Bacillati; Bacillota; Clostridia; Eubacteriales; Clostridiales Family XVII. Incertae Sedis.